GGAGGAAACGGCAACAUGAAUUCAUAGAUGAUGAGUAGGAUGCCAAAGCCAGAGAUGACAGUGCUCUUGAAGAAAUGCUGGGUAGAACAAAAAGAUGAUCAUGGGAACAGCAAUGGCAGUCAUGUAAAAAUCUUUUUACCGAAGAAGCUGCUUGAAUGUCUACCAAAAUGUUCAAGUUUACCGAAAGAGAGGCACCGCUGGAACACUAAUGAGAGAUCUUGAUGCAGACGCCCUUUUGGAUUUCUUUUUAAUAAUGUGUGACCCUUCACCUUUGAUCCUUUGACCUGCAUUACUUUGGUAACCAUUUCAUUUUUUUAAUUUCAUUUCAUUUUUAAUUUUGGUGUGCAAGCUGUAACAUUUCAUCAUUUUAAACUGUAGCGUUCUUUGACUUCCCCAAAUGUCUUUUUUUUUUUUUUC
Aptenodytes forsteri (emperor penguin) is the source of this 417-nucleotide long non-coding RNA. RefSeq lists it as uncharacterized. The transcript is spliced from 3 exons. The record is from RefSeq and is a predicted model, not a curated record. Lineage: Eukaryota; Metazoa; Chordata; Aves; Sphenisciformes; Spheniscidae.